UCCUACGGGAGGCAGCAGUGGGGAAUAUUGCACAAUGGGCGCAAGCCUGAUGCAGCCAUGCCGCGUGUAUGAAGAAGGCCUUCGGGUUGUAAAGUACUUUCAGCGAGGAGGAAGGCAUUAAGGUUAAUAACCUUAGUGAUUGACGUUACUCGCAGAAGAAGCACCGGCUAACUCCGUGCCAGCAGCCGCGGUAAUACGGAGGGUGCAAGCGUUAAUCGGAAUUACUGGGCGUAAAGCGCACGCAGGCGGUUUGUUAAGUCGGAUGUGAAAUCCCCGGGCUCAACCUGGGAACUGCAUUCGAAACUGGCAAGCUUGAGUCUUGUAGAGGGGGGUAGAAUUCCAGGUGUAGCGGUGAAAUGCGUAGAGAUCUGGAGGAAUACCGGUGGCGAAGGCGGCCCCCUGGACAAAGACUGACG
This 416-nucleotide ribosomal RNA is filed under the name Raoultella sp. Its description in RNAcentral is "bacterial SSU rRNA". It matches the Rfam family "Bacterial small subunit ribosomal RNA", at positions 337 to 745 of the family's 1533-position model. The record is from RNAcentral. Lineage: Bacteria; Pseudomonadati; Pseudomonadota; Gammaproteobacteria; Enterobacterales; Enterobacteriaceae.